AGCAGCGGGCAAUGCUCACGACAGAGUUGGGCGUACAUCAUAUAUAUACAUAUGUUGUCGUGUCUUAAUAAAUGGAGAUGAGAUAUCUAUCCGACUGUCAUCCUUCCCAGACUUGGGUUUGUCAUCUCUGUCGGCGUCCACCUGCGCUUCCUUCAUUGGUUGUCAUUUCUUUGUACACUGCUGUAAUUUAGAGAUCAUAAUAUAUUUUCCAUGGAUACAAUUGAAUACGACACCCAAUUUGCUAUAUAAUUGUUCAGCUCUCUCUCAUAGCGAUUCAUACAAAAUAUCAUGCAUAAUGGUCCCAGCUUAAGUAGAAAAUAACCAUUGGAUUGUUCAAACUUUGCUCGUGUUUCGCAGGGCACCAUAACUCUAAUCCGACAUGAGCAGUCCAACCACGACAGUGAGCAGUGGAACCGCAAGAUAGAGAUAGAUACAAGUAGAAUAUAACUGGUCAUAUUUCUAAAAUGAUCACACUACUUAUGGUGCCGGAAGAGAAGGCAUCAGUGAUAGUGGGCUAGGUGAUGAGGGCAUCAAUACAAAGAGAUUAAUUCACAACUUUGUUCUUGAUAGGUUGUACAAAUAUACAAGGUACUACUGUUUCCUUUUAUGUUUAAAUAGCUUUGUGAGUACAACUAUAUGAAAAUUCUGCGAUUCAUGGUGCGGAAGCGGGCAUCUUUGUUUCCCUGACCAAAAAUUCUUAGUUUCAUGCCUCCACGGUAUAAUUUAGAGGCACAGUCCAAUGAGAGAUUCCUACUUAGCUAGCUAAUAUAUAACGUUUGAUGGUACUGUCUUGUGUUGUAAAUACAAGAUAUGCUACAUGAGCAUUACUUUUAUUUUGAAUUUAAUUUUGUGUUUGAGCCUCUUUUACAUAUUAAGUGUAAUAUCACAGACUUUCUUCUUUCAGGGUUAACUGGCCAUGCAAAAACUGUUGUGAGGCAUUAAAUGGUACUAUAUGUUUUUGGCCUGCUUUUGUUCACUUUUGUCCUUUCCAAAGUGUAAUAAGAAAAGAAAGUCAAAAUAGGCUCAACCAUGACUACUCUGCUCUUGUGAUCACCAAUUUCUGCUCCAUUGCGCACAAGAAAGUAGUGACUAUUUAUUUGCUUAAACAAUAUGUCCAACCACCAAUUUCUGCCUGUCCUGCUAAUACUCCUUUAUGGAUGUAUCGCACAAAUUUCAGUUAUUAGAUAUGAAAUGUAGGUUCUCUACACAGAGCUGGGUCCAAUGGUCAAUGCAGCUCUAUGUUGUGCUAUCUUGCUAUUGGGCUCUUUUUUCGUUACUUAAAAUGGACAUAUAUCUCUGAUGUUAAAUUCGUGCUUCAUUGCUUAUAUCCAAAAUAACCAUGUUAGUACACUGAAGCCAAUUUCUACAUUGUUAGUGAAGUUGGCUAAAUAGUUUUUGCGCCACUAAGAUAUAUAUGUGCACUGCAUUCUAACCCUGCAAAUUGUUGUGCUAUUAGUUUAAUCCAAAAUAUAAUUAUGUUUGUGUCUCGACAUAUGCUUGUGAUGCGUCGUGCUACCAGAGGCCAACAUUAUCCAGUAUCAUAGCGACGCUAAAAAUGCCUAUUGGUUACUCCGCAUAUUCUCAUCUGAUUUCUCAUAUAUAGAUAUUAAUUUCCUUUCAUGGGAGGCCUUCAUUACAUUUCAGCGGCAGUUGCGGAUGUGGUCGGCGGUUGAGGGAGGGUCUCCGACUAGAGCAGCAGGAGCAAGGAGCUCAAGGAGGUUCAGGUUUGCCUCUACAUCCUCUCUCUUUCCUCCACUUUGUUCUUGCAUUUAGAGGAUACAACUUGUGAUCAUGUUAUAUUCUGCUUUUGUCAGUUUGCUGGUCCAUAUUAAUUUCCUCGAGCUUAUUUUCACAUCUCGUCAUAUUUACACCUCUCCGCCGACUGCCACCUAUCAUGGAGGGAGAUGGCUUGGCCAGGCCGUCAAGACCCAUCGGCAACUUCCAGCAGGCGUCGUCCCGUACUUCUGCAUGUAAACUGAAUUGAUUUACCAAUAAAAAUCUGGACAACUCAUUCCAGUCGAUAAUAACCAUUGUGGCAUUACCAUGAUAUGUCAUGUAUCUGCUCUGAGUUGCACUAUGUUGCAAAAAGUACAAUAAGAGAUAGAAUGUAUGCACUAUGGCUAGCAGUAACUUUUUUUUGACUUGUACAACAUUUGAUCUAUCUAUUUCUGCAGGAUAUUCCUCUUGUUGCAACCUUUUCCCAUAGAAUCAAAAGGAAUUAGAUUGAAGAAAUUGCAGGAGGUACUACUUCGUGUUCCAUUAGUCUUACUUUUGGAGGCUUGUCUAUAUAUAGUAUUAGUGUCGGUGUGUCAAUAGUAGUAUUAGUUUUGGAGGCUUGUCUAUAUUAGUCUUAUUUUUUGGAUUACGUUUCUUUCCACCUGCAUCCUCUCUUCAUAAUGGAUUACGUUUCUUUGUUAUUGCCAUGUGUUACUUUUUCUUAUGACUGUGACCGUCAGUGCCCUUAACAGUGGUUGUUCUUGCUUUAUGGCUGCCUUCUCAGUGCACUUUUAUUAGUUCUAAUACAUUAAUAUAAUAUGCUCGAUUGACCAUAUUAAUUAUAUAUUUCACUUCACCGGGGCUGUUGGUCGAAGUGUUGGUUAAAAUAUUUUGGUGGCAGUGUAUAAAACUAAUUGUUGUACAGCAUUGUUAAGUGCACUUUUGAGCUUUGAGUAGACAACUAUGGUCAUAAUUACCUUAAAGGAUCGUUAGUAUAUAUUAUUGUCGGAUUUCCAUGUUCAGUUAUUCACACUAUAUUAUUGCUUGAUUCUGAUAGCUUGCUAUUAUUAGAGCAGGAAGGGUAUUCCUGGUGUGACAUUCAAAAGCAGUCAAAACGGUGAGGUUUAGAACGGAGGAGCUCCGUGGAAUUAUGGAUAAAAAAUUAUCCAUAACAUGUCUGUCAUUUCUCAUGUCGACCAAGGUAUGUGACCGAGCAGUGACAGUUGUCUCUAAUUAUCAAUUUUAUAUAGAGUCUUCUUGAUUGAUGAUUUUGUAGCCUUCUCUUAGUUGUACCAUAUUAAUUCUUAAAACUGGAUCAUUUAAAAUUAGUUAGAUUUAAUGAGUUGUUCCACUGUUUCCAAAUAAGUAGUUUAAGCCCUUAUUGUGUUCUGGAGCUUAUUCUUUCUGCCUUUUUAUGAUUGAUAUAUGCUCUCACAAGCUUAAAUGUAACUAUUGACAUAUAAUCUCAUGGCUCAAAGUCAUAGUUGAAUGUAUUAAAAUUUAUAAGAUUUGGAGUUUGCACUAUAAUUUCAUCCAGCGGUAUUCCCAAUAACUGAAUGUUAAGAGCACUGACGAUCCCAGGCUGUACAUUCAUGUACUGGGAAAUGCUUUUAUCUUGCACGCCAGUUUUACAUUUAUUUUUCAAUAACAAGAUGACCAUGAACAGGGUAUCAAGGUAUUUGCCUUGGCAUUACUAAUGUCGUGUUCAGAUUACUAAAAGAAGGAUUGAUAGCGGCAUACCUUAACUCGACUGAUGCUUUAACUACUGCCUCUCUAAGCCUUGAUUAGCCAUGGAGAUACUCAAGUUCCAAAGCCCCAAGUGAGGCUAUCCUUCUAAGAUCCGUUCAUCCCAAUUCAUUAAUUUGUUUGAAAUAUAUAUAUAUGUAUAUUCCAAUAUUGCUCAAUCUCCAGCUGGCCUCUAGGUUAUCAGAUGAAAUCCGGUUAAAUUUUAGGGAGGUUGAGUAGGAGUGUUUGGAACUAAAGGCUUUGUUGUUGUUUGAGUAGGAUUAUCUCCCUUUUCUGUAUAAAUUUUGUUGCUAUGAAUAGUUGCAUUGUUACGUCAAUGAAAAGUUCCUGGGCGUACUAUGUGUUCCUCUAGACUUGGUUGAAAGUAUUCCUUCUGUUAUCCAGUUUCUCACUACGCAUGUUACCUUUGUUGCUGAAUUUUGCCUAUAGUUUAUAUAUAGUAGACUCACAUGAUUACCUGAUGACUCAUUCAUGCAAGAACUAUUGUUAAUUUUUUCCUUUUCUGCAAUGAUGGUCGUAGUCCUUUGAUUCUACCAGCCGCAAAGGAGUGAAUGUAGAAAAUAUGUCCAUUGUCGUUGAAUUGGUGGGAUUGUCACCAAGUUAGUGCCGCAGAUUUCUAUUUUAGAGCAAGAAGCCAAAUCAUGUAGUUUCAUUGUAAAUCUUGAAAAACUUGUUUAUUGUCACUUCUAUAUCUGUUACAAGCUUUUUUUUUCAUGAUGUGGUACUUGUCAAUCUUGGUUUGCCCUUCCAUUUCAAGUCUGCCCUUAAAUUCCAGCAGACCAAAAAGUCCUUGUUUCUUCAAUUGGUUUCUCGUUUCAUGUUUGCACUUCUAUUACAGUACAAUAUUUCAUAAACAUGGCAUUGGUCAUUAUUUGUCCAGUUCCCUUCAAAAAAAGAAGAGAUGGCUAUAGAGAGUUGAUCCUUCUACAUAACAGAGCAGAGGAGUGGGAACUAUAAACAUGCCUCACUGAAGAGAUGAAAAAUGUUGUGCAAGGCAUUGGUUGUUAAGCUCCUUUAAAAAUGAAGGAAUUAUAGUGCAUCUGACCUAUAAAGGGGUUGUGAGGGACAAAACGCUAUGGAUUCAGAGUAGUGGGAGGGCACAGUUUACCAACGACGCAAGGACAAAGCGUGACCUUGAUUCCAAAGUUCCAGCUCACAUAGCAGAAUUGUAUAGAGAGGAUGCCUGCAUUUUGAAAACUCUGUUACAUAGUUUGAGGCUAUGUUUCUUUCAAUUUUCAUUAUUAAAAGGAUCCUUAUUAUUGCCAAAUUGUCAAUUAUUUUCAAAUAGCUCUUGGUUUGAAAUGGGACCAUGUGCCAUCUAGCGCAAUGGGUACUGUUAUUAUACAUUCUAUUAUUGACAACAAG
RNAcentral lists this long non-coding RNA (4827 nucleotides) under Triticum aestivum (bread wheat). RNAcentral describes it as "long non-coding RNA (TAES_LNC002119)". Lineage: Eukaryota; Viridiplantae; Streptophyta; Magnoliopsida; Poales; Poaceae. The record is from RNAcentral.